UUUGGACUUAAAGUGAUAUGUCCAGCACAUGUCACAUUUUGAAAGGACCCAUCAGGUAAAUGUGCAAGUUUUGGAUUUGAAAGAAGUAUGGUUUUGUCAAAAAAAUUGAGGGUCAGAAUUCAUAUAUGUAGACCCUUAUUUUGUGAUGAGUAUGUACAUUGAGGCCAUAGGAAACCUGAUGAUGAAAAAUUGUAUAACUGUAAGAUAUAAUUGAAGGCAUGAAACUGAAUUAUUAAUUCCGUGGCAUGAUCUUGAAAAAUAAUAAUAAUAAUAAUAUGCUUUUUGGAAAAUUAAUUUAAUUUAAAUAAAAUUUUGUUUUGUUUAAAUUUAAUAUGGGUAGUUCUUAAAUGGACCUAAUUAAGUUUAAUUGGACUCAAUGGGCCUAAGAAAGCCUAGUUAGGAAUUUUAAAUGGGACUCAUUUAAUUAUUUUCUGAAAAUUAAAAUAAUAAAAUAUCUCUCUCCUCCUUAGCCCCACUCUCUUCCUCACUCCCUAUUGGUGUCACCCCCUUUCCCUUUCUUUCUAUUGGUUGGAACACCUCACACAUAUUUCAGUCUCAUCCAAAUUCAUCAAUCCUAGUCAUUUAAGUUAUCUGAACUUUAUCACACUAGGACUCUAAACCCUACCACACCUCUUCCUCACUCCCUAUUGGUGCCUUCUAUUUUUUCCUGUCUUCCUAUUGGUUGAAACACCUCACCCAUAUCCCAGUCUUAUUCGAAUUCUGCAAUCAUACUUGUUUAAGUCAUCUAAACUUUAUCACCCUAAGACUCCAAACCCUAUCACACCUCUCUCCCAAAACCCUAUAAAUACCCUACUGGAGGAAAAAGAAGGGAGGAGGGGAGGAAAGAGGAAGAGAAAAUUCAAAGCUAUAAGAAAUUUAGAAAUAUUCAAGACUCUUUGAGUUCUUCCUUAUUUUUUCUUUUCUUCAAGAAGAUUUUCAUACAAGAUUUCUAGAAGGUCAGUUUUUAUUAUUUUUUUUUUAAGAUCUAUGCCAUGCAAUAUUUUAAUUCUAUGCCCUUUGUCUUCAAUUUAUUUUAUAUGCUCAUAUAGAUAAUGUAAUCAUGUUUAAUUUGAGGGGAUACACAACUCUGCACAUGUUUAGUUUCUGUCUCUUGUAUUUUUAUUAUUUUUCUUUAUCUUCUGAAUCUGUAAAAAAUUUGUAAAAAUUAUAUUCAUAUUCUACACGAAAUUCUAUUAAUUUUACGCUCUAGAAUCACAAAAAAAGCUUUAAUAUUUUGUAAGUUAUGGCUGUUUGAAAUUAGGGUUCCUAUAAAAUCUGAUUUGCAGGAUACCCGACUUGUGGAGCCCAUAUCUCCCUUGUUUCUUAAUAUUUUUGUGUAAAUCUAGUGUCUAAAAUUAAUUUUAGAAUCUUAUGAAUCUUUUCCAUUUGGUUUUGCAUUCAUAUCUAUUGUGGUUAAUAAGUUAUGAAUUUUAUAAAAAAAGUAGUACGAUUCUGUCACUUAGAAAAGUUACAAUUUAUGUAGACCAUUCGCCUAGGAUUUUGUUUGAUUUAUAAAUUUUAUAAUCUUGUAUGAUAUGUAGGCUAUCUUUUGUAAUUUUUUUUAUGAUUUUUAGGCACGUCUAACUAUUUUUAAAAAAUCGGAUUUCUUGCUACUGUUAAUCUGCCAGAAUUUGAAAAUUGUAUAUUCUUGUAUUUUCUUGGGUUUUAAUUGAUAUUUGAUCUAUUUUUCUUCUGUGUUCUUUUAAUUCAAGAAGUGUUAUGAAGUGUUUGGAUCAUGUUAGAAGACUUAGACCAUUAGGUAGUUGUAACUAAUUAGGAAUUUUAACCCUUUAGGAGACUAAAGUUAGAAUUCAAUGUAAAUUGUUAUUAAUAUUUUCUUUAUUUCUUUUAUUUUCUUUAGUUUCUUUAUUUUUUUAUUACAAAUAAAAUUGGUAAGUAGCCCUAAGGUAAGUACCAAAGAGGGCAUUUGUGUGGAGCUUAUGUGGAGCUAAACGGGAGUAAGCCAGGGAUAUCAUUGUCAUACUAGAAGAGAAGACCCUUUUUUAAAGGUAGCUUGCCCCAAUGGCAACUGCAUUUGCCAACAGGUGAUGACAAGUGUAAGUCAAUGUAAGAAGAAUGAUAGGAAGAUGCCGCCUGGGUUGAAAAGUUGCAUAUCUUUUGCACAUGGUGAUUCGUCUUACGAAACACUUUCACCCUCCCAAUCAGAAAAUUUUUCUGAUUAUGUUACACCUGAAGAUGGAUGGAGACAAGUUUCAAGGUCUAACCCUAUUUGCAAGCUCACUAGUAUUAUCAGUAUUGUUCGCAUUCAGAGACAAUCGUCUCCUACAUCGAAUAUUGGUAAAAAAAGACAACUUUUUAGAGCCAACUCUAAUCAUGCACCACCUGCCAUUACUGAUGCUCCAUCACUAUCUUCUCCUCCUCUAUCAAUUAUCGGAAAGCAGGCAAUCUUUAAGAACUAACAUUGAAAAUGAUCCAGUUGGUGUCAGUAAUGCUCCUUCAUUAUCUUCACCUGCUUCAAAUGUUGUCGGAAAAUAUUUUCGACCAAUUGGUGAACAUGGAAGAAAGUUGGCAUCAUGGUUAGGAUAUUGUGCAAGAUCUUGUGGUCCACCUAAGGAGCCUUGGAAUGCUAUUGAAGCUCGAUAUCGUACUCGUUUAUGGAGUAUGAUUCAGGAUUACUUUAAUGUAAGUCCUAAGAGUCCAGAAAAAUGGAAGAAGCUUGAGGAAAUGCAGAAGGCGAAGCCUGACACGGCUGAAAUAAAAAAAAAUAAAAAUUGAAAAAAAAAAAGCUAAGUUUGAAUUCUAUUGUUUCUAUGAGAUGAAAAUAUUAUAUCGCAAAUGGAAAUACAAGCCACACCUUAAGUAUUUGAAGUACUCAAGUGAUGAUGAACGACUGCAACAUGUUCCUGAAGGAUUGACUGUGGAUACUUAGAAGGAAAUGUUCAAAGUUUUUGCUAAUGAGGACUUUCAGAUGGAUGAGGAGAUUGGUGAAGUACCAUAUGCUUCUGAAGUCUAGAUGGCUACACAUGGGCUCUUGGAUGAGCAAGGCCAAACACAAUGGCAUGAUCCAGAAUCAUCAAGGAUAUAUGCAAGAAGAGAUGCAAAGGAUUGAGAAACAACCAACAAAUGAUAAUGAGACUGGUCCUACUCCAGAUGAUGUCUUAGAAGAGGUGUUUGGCGUUAGAUCUGGUUAUGUUCGUGGUAAAGGAUUAGGAUACAAAGCAAGCACUAGAGGAAUGGCAUGUGGUUCUAGAAAUGAGGAAUUAAAUGAAUUGAGAGACGAGGUAGCAAGGUUGAAUGCUCCUUUGAAGGAACAAGAACAACGCAAUAAUGAGAUAGCACAACUAAUUGCUUGACUCAAGGAACAAGAAGAGCGCAAUUUGGAGUUUUUUAAAAGAUUUGAGAGUGUGAUAGGAUACAAAUCAUCAGAAAGUCAGGAUAUGACAAUAGAUUAACAUAUCGAGUGAUGAAGGGUUGCAGACUAGCAAUGAAGUUGAAUUAGAGUUUGAACACUUCUAUUAUUAUGGGAGUUUUAUUUUGAAUAUUAUCAAGUAUGAACAAAUUAGGAAUAAAAGUAGGUAGAUUUAAGUUUAUUUUGCAUACUAGCUACGUGCACUUAAAAAUUACUGUUAUAUCAUACUUUAAAACUUAUGUUACGUU
Molecule: RNA transcript, 3618 nt
Organism: Hevea brasiliensis (rubber tree)
Lineage: Eukaryota; Viridiplantae; Streptophyta; Magnoliopsida; Malpighiales; Euphorbiaceae
Exons: 10
Source: RefSeq, a predicted model, not a curated record